Non-coding RNA from Biomphalaria pfeifferi, 633 nucleotides. The record is from the annotation of a GenBank genome assembly. NCBI's taxonomy places the organism in Eukaryota, Metazoa, Mollusca, Gastropoda, Planorbidae.
CUGUGAUGGUAAAAUGUUUAUGUGUAAAACAAGGACACGUGACAGAGAUCUCAAAAAAAAAAAUGACACAAGUAAAAGGUUAUUAUAUAAAAUGUUGUAGACACACAUUUGUAGAAAGUGAAACAAAACCAACAAUUAAAAAUUAUCCCAAACAUUGAGUUCAAAAUAUGAAAAGUGACUUCAAAUAGUUCAUGCAUAAGAAUAGGAAGAAUGUCAUUUGGAAAACUUUAAACAAAGUAUUUCUGUGAGAAGACAUUGAGUCCUAUUAUUAUCUGUCCAACGUUAAAAUUACAAGCCAUAUCAGAGGGGAGAGGUUCAAUGGUUUCUUAGAUAAACUUGCAUGUGUCUUAGGGUAUGUUUAAGUGUUUCUUUGAGUGUGUCCAAGGGUAUCUAAAAAUCUUUAAAUGUGUCUAAUUGAAAAAUUAAAGAGUGGAGAAACUCUCCGAAGCUCUCUACUCUCAGCAUUAAACUAAUGGGUGGAGGUCUGAGUCACAUUUCACUAUCAUUUUAUAUUUAUCUUCAUUGCCUGACCUACUUUCCAUAUAGUAGUCGUAUUCCAUAUUCACUUAUAAUUACAGAUGUAUUAGUUUGUUUUGGGGGAAAGAAAAGAAAUGACUUACCCCCCCCCCCCCC